Molecule: ribosomal RNA, 759 nt
Filed under: Bacillus safensis
Lineage: Bacteria; Bacillati; Bacillota; Bacilli; Caryophanales; Bacillaceae
Description: bacterial SSU rRNA
Rfam family: Bacterial small subunit ribosomal RNA
Source: RNAcentral
UGCAGUCGAGCGGACAGAAGGGAGCUUGCUCCCGGAUGUUAGCGGCGGACGGGUGAGUAACACGUGGGUAACCUGCCUGUAAGACUGGGAUAACUCCGGGAAACCGGAGCUAAUACCGGAUAGUUCCUUGAACCGCAUGGUUCAAGGAUGAAAGACGGUUUCGGCUGUCACUUACAGAUGGACCCGCGGCGCAUUAGCUAGUUGGUGGGGUAAUGGCUCACCAAGGCGACGAUGCGUAGCCGACCUGAGAGGGUGAUCGGCCACACUGGGACUGAGACACGGCCCAGACUCCUACGGGAGGCAGCAGUAGGGAAUCUUCCGCAAUGGACGAAAGUCUGACGGAGCAACGCCGCGUGAGUGAUGAAGGUUUUCGGAUCGUAAAGCUCUGUUGUUAGGGAAGAACAAGUGCGAGAGUAACUGCUCGCACCUUGACGGUACCUAACCAGAAAGCCACGGCUAACUACGUGCCAGCAGCCGCGGUAAUACGUAGGUGGCAAGCGUUGUCCGGAAUUAUUGGGCGUAAAGGGCUCGCAGGCGGUUUCUUAAGUCUGAUGUGAAAGCCCCCGGCUCAACCGGGGAGGGUCAUUGGAAACUGGGAAACUUGAGUGCAGAAGAGGAGAGUGGAAUUCCACGUGUAGCGGUGAAAUGCGUAGAGAUGUGGAGGAACACCAGUGGCGAAAGGCGACUCUCUGGUCUGUAACUGACGCUGAGGAGCGAAAGCGUGGGGAGCGAACAGGAUUAGAUACCCUGGUAGUCCAC